GGGGCCGUAGUGAUAAUAGCAGCACGCCGCACUUGCAAUGCGGAGGAGACGGAGCGUAACCGUCCCGCUCCACCA
This 75-nucleotide transfer RNA is filed under the name Opitutus terrae PB90-1. RNAcentral's name for it is "tRNA-Ala (TGC) (tRNA-Ala-TGC-2-1)". It matches the Rfam family "tRNA". From Rfam's summary of the family: Transfer RNA (tRNA) molecules are approximately 80 nucleotides in length. Their secondary structure includes four short double-helical elements and three loops (D, anti-codon, and T loops). Lineage: Bacteria; Pseudomonadati; Verrucomicrobiota; Opitutia; Opitutales; Opitutaceae. The record is from RNAcentral.